Lagopus leucura (white-tailed ptarmigan) is the source of this 933-nucleotide long non-coding RNA. RefSeq lists it as uncharacterized. The transcript is spliced from 3 exons. NCBI's taxonomy places the organism in Eukaryota, Metazoa, Chordata, Aves, Galliformes, Phasianidae. The record is from RefSeq and is a predicted model, not a curated record.
CAUGUGGUUUGCUUUCCAUCUAGAUACCUGAUGUAUUACUUCAGCCGCAAAUUCAACAAGGCCAAGAUGUCUUCAUUUUCCUCCAGAGCAAGAGCUGUACAAGCAUUGUGAUGGAAGUAUUGGUCUUCUGUGGCCAGCCAGCGAGAACCCAUCAACAGCUGUGAUGAGCAGAGCAGACAGAGAGACAGGAGGCAGCUGAAGCCAAAGAGGACCCACGCCUGGAGCUGUGUGUGUGAUUGGAGCAGAGAGAGGCCAGGACCCAAGGAAAUCCCAGCAGCGAGGGAAAAAAACAGAUUGACUCUCAGUGACUCAUUUAGCUCCUGGAUUGGACAGAUCUCUCCCCUGCUGGCAAUUUGGCUGAGUAUCAAUGGACAGAUACCAGGAUGAAUAGCUUAAAAUAAUUAGGGGUUGGGAAUCUGCAAAACUGCUAGCCAUCCAAUUCUUUACUCUGCAAUGUGAGGCACAAAAAAGAAAUUACAUUUAGGUUAUUAAAUAUUAAGUCAGUGGAUUUGCCUCCAUUUGGUCCAGAACAGGAAACUGGAUAAAAUUCAACAUUUAUUUCAUUGUGUUGAUGGCCUGUUUAUCACUGAGCGGAAAAGAAGAGAAAAGAGGAAUUUGACAAAUGAUGGCAAUUGAGACUUCAUGAUUUAAUAACAGCAUCUCAAGCAGUUGUUCUGAAGUGGUUCUCAGUGUGAAAUGAGGUUGCCACAUGCUUAUCAGUGGUAAUAGAGGUAUAUGGCUACAGACGCCUUGCCCCUCAAAAGCUUCUUGUCUGCCAGAGUCCUAGACGAAGAACACCAGUCUGAAGAUCUUCGAUGUGGUUUGGCAAGUUCAUAAAAAUAUUUGUGAUAAAGUUGAACUGCUGUCUGGAAAUGUAACAUACAUCUCAAAGAAGCUUGAGAAGAAAACCCAGAAGAGUCAGCACUACACAUG